UCCGGAAUGGUGUAGUGGCUAGUAUUUCUGCCUCUCAAGAUCUGUUGUUUCAACAAUAAAAGAUGUGCGCAGGAGACCGGGGUUCAAUUCCCCGUUCCGGAA
This is a non-coding RNA of Cadophora gregata, 102 nucleotides long. Lineage: Eukaryota; Fungi; Ascomycota; Leotiomycetes; Helotiales; Ploettnerulaceae. The record is from the annotation of a RefSeq genome assembly.